AUUAUCGGGGACAAGAAAUAUAAUUUAAAAAAAAAAAAAAUCCGCAAAAUACCCCCUUUGGGCUUAAUGGCCUACCCUAGGGCCUGAUCUUUGUCACCUGCUGGCUGGGGCAAAUGACUUUGAUAGCCCAGGUGAAUCAGAAGCGUGCGUCACCAGUGGACACUGCACCUAUGUAAAUCGUCCAACAGGGUGUAAAGACCUGAGAGCUCGAGCGGCUCUAAGAAAAAAAAAAAAAAAACCCUUCUAUGUAUGCCCUAGGGACGGGAAAACUAGGUCGCAGGCACAAAAAUGUGGGCAACAUAAAAGUUACUAUUGUAAGUCUUGGGGAUAUAAAACUACAGGGGAUGCAUAGUAGAAGCCAAGCUCAUCUUAGGAUUUAAUUCAAAAA
This 388-nucleotide long non-coding RNA is filed under the name Marmota monax (woodchuck). Lineage: Eukaryota; Metazoa; Chordata; Mammalia; Rodentia; Sciuridae. The record is from RNAcentral.